AGCCCCACUGAAGCCCUGUGUAUACCUGGCCAAUGCUCUCAAAUCAACAUCUUUUGAGACAGGUGAUUUUCUCAAGCAGGAUUUAAAGAUUUGGAAACGCGAUUCUUCAUCAGGAAGAGGAAUAUAAAUCAAUUGAUCAAGACGGCCAGGUCGGAGAAGUGCUGGGUCAAUGAUGUCAGGUCGGUUUGUGGCCCCAAUAAUGAAAACCGUCUUUUUUGCUGUCAUGCCAUCCAUUUCAGUCAGGAGUUGGUUAAGAA
Molecule: long non-coding RNA, 257 nt
Filed under: Prunus persica (peach)
Lineage: Eukaryota; Viridiplantae; Streptophyta; Magnoliopsida; Rosales; Rosaceae
Description: long non-coding RNA (PPER_LNC005760)
Source: RNAcentral